RNAcentral lists this unclassified non-coding RNA (235 nucleotides) under plant metagenome. RNAcentral's name for it is "partial contains small subunit ribosomal RNA, internal transcribed spacer 1, and 5.8S ribosomal RNA". The stretch from base 1 to 54 matches the Rfam family "Eukaryotic small subunit ribosomal RNA", at positions 1778 to 1831 of the family's 1831-position model. The record is from RNAcentral.
UGAAGUAAAAGUCGUAACAAGGUUUCCGUAGGUGAACCUGCGGAAGGAUCAUUCAUAAUAAGUGUUUUAUGGCACUUUUUUAAAUCCAUAUCCACCGUGUGUGCAAUGUCAGGGUUGAUUUUUCUCUCGAGAGGAUCAACCCCAAACAUCAACUAUAUCUCAACUCUUUGUCUGAAAAAUAUUAUGAAUAAAACAAUUCAAAAUACAACUUUCAACAACGGAUCUCUUGGCUCUC